This 318-nucleotide ribosomal RNA is filed under the name Triticum aestivum (bread wheat). Its description in RNAcentral is "partial small subunit ribosomal RNA". The record is from RNAcentral. Lineage: Eukaryota; Viridiplantae; Streptophyta; Magnoliopsida; Poales; Poaceae.
AUGUUGUGCUGUGAACAAAUUUGUAUGGAGGUGUCAAUUUCCAGGUUGGAAAUGCAUUGUGCAGAAACCUGUCUUGUCGCUGCAAAAAUGCAGAAAGCGUGCCACAUGGAACGAGGGGUGAGUCUUUUCAGCAAUAAGGAUGUAGUCCUGACCUGGUGUCACUUACGUCGUGAAGAUGUCAUCGGUUGUGGGUUCAUGCUUGAUCCACCAGUUUUCCUUGGUUGCUGGCCAUCCGGGAUAGAAUUCAUGCCAAGGCACGAGAGUAAUGCAUUGUGCAGCUUCCAUGCCAAGGCUUCGUCGCGUUCCUUGUAUGGGUGA